UUUUCGGUCGCACCUGAACUCAACACCCGCGGGCCCAGCGGGAGGGCUGGGACCGCGCGCCCUCGCCUCCGGGCCAGACCCCCGCGAGGCGCUGCAGUAAUGAGGGCUGAGUGCGGGGCGGGGCGCCGCCGGGGGAGGCGGCGAGGGUGACGACCUGUGGCAGGCACCCCUCUCUCCUACUGGUCGCGGCCAGUGGCCGACUCUCCCGUCCUCCCCCUGCCUCGGCCUAGACCCCUAAGCAGGCAGGGAGCCCGCCUGCCAGCUGGAGGGGCGGGGGUCCCAUCGCUGCUGUGGAGUCCAAAGUGUGAGCCUUAUCUCUCAGAGGGCCGGCUGGCCUGCCUGGUGGAAGCAACGCCAGAGGCAGAUGCUACCGGUAUCAUCCCACUUAGCUGGUGCAAGACUGAAUCUCAGAGGUAAAAUAGCUUCACCAAGGUCACAAAGCCAGGAUGUGGAAGAGCUGGCUCAAUUCCUGUAUCUAACAAGGCUUUAGAGAGGACAUUUGGUCCAGCCGCCAACUGCCAAACAGGAGACCACUGCUGUCUCUCUCCUUCUUGGCUUGCGUUCUUUGCUGCAUCAAGCUGUGUUGUUGGAGGAACAGUGCGAGGCCUCUGGCCAGUAGUCAACAAGGAACUGAGAGCCUCCGUCUAGCAUCUGGUGAAGACCUGAACCCAUCAAAGCCCGUGUUAAGGAGGAACCCAAAUGGAAUUAAGGAAUGGAAAAUAAAAAUUGGUUUCUUAUGCCUCUGCACUUCACCUUUCUCCUGUUCAUCCCACUCUGCCAUUAUUGCCUGCUUGCCUGCACGACAGUGCAGUCUGAGCACGGACCACACCUCCCAUGCAGCGGUGGCUUUGUGAUCUGUCCACCUGGGGAGAAGAACAGCAGGUGCGUGAGGAGACAUGCUCUGAGGACUAGCAGCGCCAGCACUGCUGCCCAUGUGCCCUGAACCUUAAUGGCUAAGAGAGUCGACUCUGAAGAAACCCAGGGGAAACCUCAGAUACUCCACUCAGGAGGUGAGAGGCUUUGAUCAGAACGGCGGCCUCUCUGUCUCUCCAUUCCCUAGUGGUAAAAUGGAAAUACUAAGGGCACGAGGACAAAGUGAGCUGACAAAUGCACAGACUGCGGCAGUAUCUGGGCAGAGCAUGGGCUGAAUCAGUGUGAAUUCCUCAGUCCCCCUCCUGGGACGACGUCCCGCCACUCACCAUGACCACGGCAAUGCCGAUGCCCACUGCGCCGAUGAUGUGGAAUUUAUUGUCGAAGACCUCUUUGAUGGCAUCAGGACAGGACUUGGGGAGACAAACCAAGACCUGGGUCACACACAAUCCUUGCUCCCGGGGCACCUCCUUCCUCCCAUGGCACCCGUCUCACCCGGGAGAACUGGUGGGCAGAGGGUGGGCUGGGGACAGGGGUGUUCAGGGAUAAGAGAAGUUCUGGCUGGUGGAUGGAAAGGGGAGCAAAGGGAUGGCUAUGCUAAUGGAUGCUAAACAUUUGGGCAGGACAUCAGGGAAGGAGGAGGGACAGGCCCUGCUUGGGGGCCUAUUUCUGAUACGGUUGUAAGGUCACUUUUUACUACUCUGGAGCUGGACAUUAACUCCAGCUUACAGACAGGAGGCACUGACAAAGUCAGAGCGGGAGUCCAAGACUCAGAAGCAUGCCUGCCCUCGACAGCUUCCAGGCUGGCAGCAGUGGGCGGUGCCAGAGCACUUGUCGUUCCCCUGGUCUGGCCUUUGUUUUAUUUUAUUUUUUAUUUUUUAUUUUUUUUUUUUGAGACGGAGUCUCGCUCUGUAGCCCAGGCUGGAGUGCAGUGGCCGGAUCGCAGCUCACUGCAAGCUCCG
Molecule: non-coding RNA, 1832 nt
Organism: Macaca mulatta (Rhesus monkey)
Lineage: Eukaryota; Metazoa; Chordata; Mammalia; Primates; Cercopithecidae
Source: RefSeq, a predicted model, not a curated record